This 162-nucleotide small nuclear RNA is filed under the name Chinchilla lanigera (long-tailed chinchilla). Its description in RNAcentral is "U4 spliceosomal RNA (ENSCLAG00000020613.1)". The stretch from base 1 to 73 matches the Rfam family "U4 spliceosomal RNA". The record is from RNAcentral. Lineage: Eukaryota; Metazoa; Chordata; Mammalia; Rodentia; Chinchillidae.
AGCUUUGUGCAGUGGCAGUCUUGUAGCCAAUAAGGUUUAUCUGAGGUGCGAUUACUGCUAACUGAAAACAGAAGAAUGAAAGAAUAUUCAAAACAGAAACACCAAAUCACUUAUUAUUCUGAUGGCACACCCAUCAGAACAAUGUAAGAUUUCUCAACAGAA